UCGAACUACAGGAGCUUGAUCCCUGGAUUGGGUAUGUAGGCAACCAUGGAAAAGUGGUGCAGCUUGUACGGGUGUCCAUGUUCGUGGGCGGUGCUCGUAUUCGUCCUACAUUUGAGGUUUAUCAAAUGAAGUACGAGGUGGAGAAUUGUUGGUGGCAGACAAGGGGACAACCCUUUUCUCUUUUGCUUUUACUUUUUGCUUUUUCCUUUUGCUUUUUGUAGUGAAAGUCGUAAGGGGAGAGAGGGAGCGUAAGUGAAUACUCACUUCUUGCUUCAGACAUCAAGGUGAGAGCAGAGAGAGCUGUGAGAGAAAAACAGAGAGAAUUGGGGUGUGAUAUACACGAGAGAUUGUGAGGUAUUUGAAGAGGGUUUUUCCAGCGUGGGUUUGAGAGUGUACGAGAGUGAGAGGUUGAUCUCAUCUUGGGUGUAAUUCUCGAUUCAUUGUGUGACGAGUUCGCGGGUUGUGCGAAUCGUCGGAGUUCUUCAAUAUUACGAUUGGUGUUGCUCCCGUGG
RNAcentral lists this long non-coding RNA (512 nucleotides) under Salvia miltiorrhiza (redroot sage). Its description in RNAcentral is "long non-coding RNA (SMIL_LNC009868)". The record is from RNAcentral. Lineage: Eukaryota; Viridiplantae; Streptophyta; Magnoliopsida; Lamiales; Lamiaceae.